Neogale vison (American mink) is the source of this 310-nucleotide unclassified non-coding RNA. Its record names the gene 7SK. It matches the Rfam family "7SK RNA". Rfam says of the family: 7SK was discovered as an abundant small nuclear RNA in the mid-70s but a possible function has only recently been suggested. Two independent studies have found that 7SK RNA binds the CDK9/cyclin T complex (known as elongation factor P-TEFb). Lineage: Eukaryota; Metazoa; Chordata; Mammalia; Carnivora; Mustelidae. The record is from Ensembl.
GGAUGGUGAUCUGGCAGCAACAUCUGUCACCCCAUUGAUUGCCAGGGUUUAUUCGGCUUAUCUAGAAGGCUAGCCAGUGUCCUCGCCCUCCCUUGAGGCUCCAGGGGCUUCCUUCCAGAAGCUGUACUCCCAGUGACCUUCCCCAGUAGAGGAAGACCCAUCCUUGGUCAAGGGCAUAGGAGUAGCUAUACUAUCCUGCUAGAAACUCCAAACAAGCUGUCAAGGUCCAUCUGUAGGACAACGUAGGGUAGGUAGUCAAGCUUCCAAGACUUCAGACACAUAUGUGGCACGUGGCCCUCUGCCUCUCUUU